GCAGGUAUAGCUCAGUGGUAGAGCACGUGCUUAGCAUGCACGAGGUCCCAGUUUCAAUCCCCAGUACCGCCA
RNAcentral lists this transfer RNA (72 nucleotides) under Camelus bactrianus (Bactrian camel). It matches the Rfam family "tRNA". From Rfam's summary of the family: Transfer RNA (tRNA) molecules are approximately 80 nucleotides in length. Lineage: Eukaryota; Metazoa; Chordata; Mammalia; Artiodactyla; Camelidae. RNAcentral also lists the same sequence under 2 other names. The record is from Rfam by way of RNAcentral.